UAUUUUCAGUUUUUUAAUCAUUUUUAAGAGUGAAAUAACUUAAUUACCCUCACAUGUUGUGCACAUGGUCUCACUUAACGGAAAUAUGGAUGGAAUAUAUGAAAAACUAACGGUAGGGGGCAAAUUGGCUAAAAAAAUUAGUUUGAGUCCUUAAUUUUUCAAUGGAAAAGUUCAGGGGGGAAAUCAAAAGUGAGGUGAAAGUUCAGGGGGUAAACCGACAGUUUACUCAAAAACAAAAAUAAGAGAAAGACGAAAACUUCCAAAUCAGAGUACUAAAAUAUAAACAUGCAUGGUCGUCAACGACGUAAACACUCUAACCAACAUUUCGGCAAGCACCAGAGCCAAUAGAAGCAAUCGUUUCCAGCAAAAUAUCGAAAAGAACAGAGAACUACCCUAUGAAAAAUAAUGUAAACAACUAAAAGAAAGUUAUCAUUUAGAUGCUGAAUCAGUACAAUGAUAAUGUACAUGGCCUUCAUUGUCUUUUUCCUCUAUAAAACUCCAUUUUUCAGUAGCCUGAUACAUACGAUAAGCAUUACGUAAGGGUGCAUGUGAUGGCAGUUUUUUUACUAAAAUAAAGUGACCGACCUGAGGAUGACGAGCAUGACAAUGAAUUGUUGAGAUUAUUUUAUCUCAUAUCGGAAAAAUUAGAGACUUUGCAUGUACUUAUAAGUAAUUGAGUUACUUUUUAUAUUCUCAAUUUAUUUUAUCAUAGAAUAUCAACUUUCUUCGUGGUAUUAACGUAAGUUGUUCCACAUGUGAAGUCCAACAACAACAUAUGCUCCAUGCCAUGCGAUUUGUAUUGUGAAAAUGCUAAGCUUGAAAAAUUGCCACGCAACAUGAGAAGGCGUGUUAAGAGUAUCAAUCACAUCGGAAAUAUAAGAGACCUUAUUAUGUAUGCUUAUAAAUAAUUGAACAAUUCUUAAUAUUAUUAAUUAAUUUUAAUCAAAUAUGUUGUAAGGGAGGUCAUAAUGUCCCAUCAAACUUCAUCUUUCUUAAAAAGUUAAAUCAAAUAUAUAUGUUGUGAGAGAGGACAAUGUAGGCCUG
Molecule: long non-coding RNA, 1044 nt
Filed under: Malus domestica (apple)
Lineage: Eukaryota; Viridiplantae; Streptophyta; Magnoliopsida; Rosales; Rosaceae
Description: long non-coding RNA (MDOM_LNC013774)
Source: RNAcentral